RNAcentral lists this ribosomal RNA (497 nucleotides) under uncultured bacterium. RNAcentral's name for it is "partial 16S ribosomal RNA". It matches the Rfam family "Bacterial small subunit ribosomal RNA", at positions 28 to 507 of the family's 1533-position model. The record is from RNAcentral.
GACGAACGCUGGCGGCGUGCCUAAUACAUGCAAGUUGAGCGCUGAAGGUUGGUACUUGUACCGACUGGAUGAGCAGCGAACGGGUGAGUAACGCGUGGGGAAUCUGCCUUUGAGCGGGGGACAACAUUUGGAAACGAAUGCUAAUACCGCAUAAAAACUUUAAACACAAGUUUUAAGUUUGAAAGAUGCAAUUGCAUCACUCAAAGAUGAUCCCGCGUUGUAUUAGCUAGUUGGUGAGGUAAAGGCUCACCAAGGCGAUGAUACAUAGCCGACCUGAGAGGGUGAUCGGCCACAUUGGGACUGAGACACGGCCUAAACUCCUACGGGAGGCAGCAGUAGGGAAUCUUCGGCAAUGGACGAAAGUCUGACCGAGCAACGCCGCGUGAGUGAAGAAGGUUUUCGGAUCGUAAAACUCUGUUGGUAGAGAAGAACGUUGGUGAGAGUGGAAAGCUCAUCAAGUGACGGUAACUACCCAGAAAGGGACGGCUAACUACGUG